GUGGGGUAACGGCCUACCAAGGCGACGACGGGUAGCCGGCCUGAGAGGGCGACCGGCCACACUGGGACUGAGACACGGCCCAGACUCCUACGGGAGGCAGCAGUGGGGAAUAUUGCGCAAUGGGCGAAAGCCUGACGCAGCGACGCCGCGUGGGGGAUGAAGGCCUUCGGGUUGUAAACCCCUUUCAGCAGGGACGAAGCGAAAGUGACGGUACCUGCAGAAGAAGCGCCGGCUAACUACGUGCCAGCAGCCGCGGUAACACGUAGGGCGCAAGCGUUGUCCGGAAUUAUUGGGCGUAAAGAGCUCGUAGGCGGUCUGUUGCGUCCGCUGUGAAAACUCGGGGCUUAACCCCGAGCGCGCAGUGGAUACGGGCAGACUAGAGGUAGGUAGGGGAGAAUGGAAUUCCCGGUGUAGCGGUGAAAUGCGCAGAUAUCGGGAGGAACACCGGUGGCGAAGGCGGUUCUCUGGGCCUUACCUGACGCUGAGGAGCGAAAGCGUGGGGAGCAAACAGGAUUAAAUACCCUGGUAGUCCACGCCGUAAACGUUGGGCGCUAGGUGUGGGAUCCUUCCAC
This 572-nucleotide ribosomal RNA is filed under the name uncultured bacterium. RNAcentral's name for it is "bacterial SSU rRNA". It matches the Rfam family "Bacterial small subunit ribosomal RNA", at positions 252 to 836 of the family's 1533-position model. The record is from RNAcentral.